UACGUAGGUGGCAAGCGUUAUCCGGAUUCAUUGGGCGUAAAGGGAACGCAGGCGGUCUUUUAAGUCUGAUGUGAAAGCCUUCGGCUUAACCGGAGUAGUGCAUUGGAAACUGGGAGACUUGAGUGCAGAAGAGGAGAGUGGCACUCCAUGUGUAGCGGUGAAAUGCGUAGAUAUAUGGAAGAACACCAGUGGCGAAAGCGGCUCUCUGGUCUGUAACUGACGCUGAGGUUCGAAAGCGUGGGUAGCAAACAGG
This 253-nucleotide ribosomal RNA is filed under the name uncultured bacterium. Its description in RNAcentral is "partial 16S ribosomal RNA". It matches the Rfam family "Bacterial small subunit ribosomal RNA", at positions 524 to 776 of the family's 1533-position model. The record is from RNAcentral.